Molecule: ribosomal RNA, 281 nt
Filed under: uncultured Thermus sp.
Lineage: Bacteria; Thermotogati; Deinococcota; Deinococci; Thermales; Thermaceae
Description: partial 16S ribosomal RNA
Rfam family: Bacterial small subunit ribosomal RNA
Source: RNAcentral
AACCCCGCCGUUAGUGCCAGCGGUUCGGCCGGGCACGUCUAACGGGACUGCCCGCGAAAGCGGGAGGAAGGAGGGGACGACGUCUGGUCAGCAUGGCCCUUACGGCCUGGGCGACACACGUGCUACAAUGCCCACUACAAAGCGAUGCCACCCGGCAACGGGGAGCUAAUCGCAAAAAGGUGGGCCCAGUUCGGAUUGGGGUCUGCAACCCGACCCCAUGAAGCCGGAAUCGCUAGUAAUCGCGGAUCAGCCAUGCCGCGGUGAAUACGUUCCCGGGCCUU